UGAUCCUCAUUCAGACCCGGCCCGUCCAAACUUUGCGAUGGGCUUAUGCUGUAAAAUCGUAGCCAAAGAUAAUACUAUCCCAACACUAAUAAGCGUGUCCAUAUCCCAUUUCGUUAUCAAAAAAAAUUGGAUGGGGUUUCAUUCCAUGUUGUGAACUGUUGAACGUGAGAUAAAGUUUUGUAUUCGAAAGUAGUAUGAUUAUCAAACCUUGUCCUCUAUGAUAAUCAUAAUAAUCAUUGUGAUGAUGAUUAAAAAGGUAGCUUUCAUUAUUGUGUAGAUCACACAUCAUAGACAAUCUGAUGGAAUAUGAGGAUUCUCUACAACUGUGUGCAUAUUUAGAAAUUUUGGCUUUAAAUGUUUGUU
RNAcentral lists this long non-coding RNA (363 nucleotides) under Physcomitrium patens. Its description in RNAcentral is "long non-coding RNA (PPAT_LNC007217)". The record is from RNAcentral. Lineage: Eukaryota; Viridiplantae; Streptophyta; Bryopsida; Funariales; Funariaceae.